UACGAAGGGGGCUAGCGUUGCUCGGAAUUACUGGGCGUAAGGGGCGCGUAGGCGGCCUGCUAAGUCGAACGUGAAAUCCCUGGGCUCAACCCAGGAACUGCGUCCGAUACUGGUUGGCUUGAAUCCGGGAGAGGGAUGUGGAAUUCCAGGUGUAGCGGUGAAAUGCGUAGAUAUCUGGAGGAACACCGGUGGCGAAGGCGACAUCCUGGACCGGUAUUGACGCUGAGGCGCGAAAGCCAGGGGAGCAAACGGG
RNAcentral lists this ribosomal RNA (253 nucleotides) under uncultured bacterium. RNAcentral describes it as "partial 16S ribosomal RNA". It matches the Rfam family "Bacterial small subunit ribosomal RNA", at positions 524 to 776 of the family's 1533-position model. The record is from RNAcentral.